RNAcentral lists this ribosomal RNA (408 nucleotides) under uncultured bacterium. RNAcentral's name for it is "partial 16S ribosomal RNA". It matches the Rfam family "Bacterial small subunit ribosomal RNA", at positions 28 to 526 of the family's 1533-position model. The record is from RNAcentral.
GACGAACGCUGGCGGCGUGCUUAACACAUGCAAGUCGAACGAAGUGGCGAACGGGUGAGUAACGCGUAAUCAACCUGCCCUUCAGAGGGGGACAACAGUUGGAAACGACUGCUAAUACCGCAUACUGAAGGAGGGGAUUGCGUCUGAUUAGCUAGUUGGAGGGGUAACGGCCCACCAAGGGGAUGAUCAGUAGCCGGGCUGGAGGGGUGGACGGGCAAAUUGGGACUGGGAAAAGGCCCAGAAUCCUACGGGAGGGAGCAGGGGGGGAUCUUGCGAAAUGGACGAAAGUCUGACGGAGCAACGCCGCGUGAGUGAUGACGGCCUUCGGGUUGUAAAGCUCUGUUAAUCGGGACGCGGUACCGGAAGAGAAAGCCACGGCUAACUACGUGCCAGCCGCCGCGGUAAUUC